AUUGAACGCUGGCGGCAUGCUUUACACAUGCAAGUCGAACGGCAGCGCGGGCUUCGGCCUGGCGGCGAGUGGCGAACGGGUGAGUAAUACAUCGGAACGUGCCCAGUAGUGGGGUAUAGCUCGGCGAAAGCCGGAUUAAUACCGCAUACGACCUGAGGGUGAAAGCGGGGGAUCUUCGGACCUCGCGCUAUUGGAGCGGCCGAUGGCAGAUUAGCUAGUUGGUGGGGUAAAGGCCUACCAAGGCGACGAUCUGUAGCUGGUCUGAGAGGACGACCAGCCACACUGGGACUGAGACACGGCCCAGACUCCUACGGGAGGCAGCAGUGGGGAAUUUUGGACAAUGGGCGAAAGCCUGAUCCAGCAAUGCCGCGUGUGUGAUGAAGGCCUUCGGGUUGUAAAGCACUUUUGGCGGGAACGAAAAGGACUGUGCCAAUACCACGGUUCGAUGACGGUACCCGCAGAAUAAGCACCGGCUAACUACGUG
This 484-nucleotide ribosomal RNA is filed under the name uncultured bacterium. RNAcentral's name for it is "partial 16S ribosomal RNA". It matches the Rfam family "Bacterial small subunit ribosomal RNA", at positions 29 to 507 of the family's 1533-position model. The record is from RNAcentral.